CAAUUAAUUUGAGGGGGAAAAAUUAAUAAAUUUUUAAUUAAUAAAAGUAAUUUUAAUAUUAUAAUGGGGGUUUUAGUAUUAAUAAAGAAAUAAUUUAAAAAUUUAUAGUAAAUUAGUAAUGUAAAUGAAAUUUUGAAAUAAUUUGAAAAUUAAUUUUUAUAAAAGUAAAUUUAAUUUGUUGUAUCUUGUGUAUCAGAGUUUAUUAAUAAAUUAUUUUAAAUAAAAAAUUCUCGAAUUAAAAAGAGAUAAUUAAUUAUAAAAGUUAUUGUUGCAUAAAUAUUUUAAAUAAUUAAUUUGAAAUGAAAUGUUAAUCGUUUUUUAAUAUAUCUAGUUUUUUUAGAAAAAAAUUAAAUUUUAUUUUUAUUUUAUAAAAUAUUUAAUUAAAUAAUUAUUUUAAAAUAAAAUUUAAUAAUUUAAGGGAUAAGCUUUAAAUUAAAUUUUUAUAAUUAUAUUAAAUGAAAUUUUGAAAUUUUUAAUAUUUAUAUUGUUUAUAAAUUAUAAUUUAUUAUAAAUAAUUUCAAUUAAAUUAAAAUUUUAUAGAUAAUUUAAUUUUUUAUAAAAAAAUAAUUUAUAAUUUAUUAAAAUUAAUUAUAAUGAUAAAAUUAGUAUAAUAAAUUUAAUAAUUAAUUUAAUUUAUAAUAAAUUAAUUUAAAGGAAUUCGGCAAAUAUAUAUAUUCACUUGUUUAUCAAAAACAUGUCUUUUUGAAAAUAAUUUAAAGUCUAAUCUGCCCACUGAUAAAUAAUUAAAGGGCUGCAGUAUUUUGACUGUACAAAGGUAGCAUAAUCAUUAGUCUCUUAAUUGGUGACUUGUAUGAAGGAUUGGAUGAAAUAUAAACUGUCUCUAAGUUAAAAAUAAAAUUUAAUUUUUUAGUUAAAAAGCUAAAAUGAUAUUAAAAGACGAGAAGACCCUAUAGAGUUUUAUAGAUUAUUUUAUUAAAAUUAUAUGUAAAAUUUUUAAUUGAAAUAAAAUAAUUUAUUAUGUUGGGGUGAUAAAAAAAUAAAAAUAACUUUUUUUUAGAAAAACCAUAAAUAAAUGAGUAAUUGAUCCAAAAUAAUUUUGAUUAAAAGAAAAAAUUACCUUAGGGAUAACAGCGUAAUUUUUUUUUUUAGUUCAAAUAAGAAAAAGAGUUUGCGACCUCGAUGUUGGAUUAAGAUAAAAUUUAAACGCAAAAGUUUAAAAUUUUGAUCUGUUCGAUCAUUAAAAUCUUACAUGAUCUGAGUUCAAACCGGUGUGAGCCAGGUUGGUUUCUAUCUUUAGUAAAAUAAAAUAUUUUAGUACGAAAGGAUUAAAUAUUUAAAUUAAAUUUAUUUUAAGAAUAUUAUUAAUUAUUUUAUAAAUAAUAAACUAUUUUGUCAGACAAAAUGUAAU
Molecule: ribosomal RNA, 1369 nt
Filed under: Dausara latiterminalis
Lineage: Eukaryota; Metazoa; Arthropoda; Insecta; Lepidoptera; Crambidae
Description: 16S ribosomal RNA
Source: RNAcentral